This is a long non-coding RNA of Ipomoea nil (Japanese morning glory), 95 nucleotides long. RefSeq lists it as uncharacterized. The record is from RefSeq and is a predicted model, not a curated record. The transcript is spliced from 3 exons. NCBI's taxonomy places the organism in Eukaryota, Viridiplantae, Streptophyta, Magnoliopsida, Solanales, Convolvulaceae.
UUUGAUUUAGAAAACGGAGUGUUUUCUGGAACUCGGAAUGAGUUCGGCCGUGAGUUUGUCAUGGCAAACCUGACUUAUCAAGGAAAUUUCCAUCC